This 370-nucleotide ribosomal RNA is filed under the name uncultured bacterium. RNAcentral describes it as "bacterial SSU rRNA". It matches the Rfam family "Bacterial small subunit ribosomal RNA", at positions 104 to 511 of the family's 1533-position model. The record is from RNAcentral.
GGGUGAGUAACACGUGGGAACCUGCCCUGGGGUCCGGGAUAGCUGCGGGAAACUGCAGGUACACCGGAUACGCCCUUAGGGGGAAAAUUCAUGCCCUGGGAUGGGCCCGCGUCGGAUUCAGGUAGUUGGUGGGAUAGUGGCCUACCAAGCCUGCGAUCCGUAACCGGUCUGAGAGGAUGACUCGGUCACAAUGGGACUGAGACACGGUCCAGACUCAUACGGGAGGCAGCAGUGGGGAAUCUUGGACAAUGGGGGCAACCCUGAUCCAGCGACGCCGUGUAGAGUAUGAAGGCCUUCGGGUCGUAAAGCCCUUUUGCCGGGGAAGAUGAUGACGGUCCCGGAGAAGAAGCACCGGCUAACUCUGUGCCAG